This is a non-coding RNA of Pimephales promelas (fathead minnow), 657 nucleotides long. The record is from RefSeq and is a predicted model, not a curated record. Lineage: Eukaryota; Metazoa; Chordata; Actinopteri; Cypriniformes; Leuciscidae.
UGGUGCACGAGCUCACGGGAAAGACGUAUCAAACAAACAAAAAGAACGAGCUUUGCGCUGCACAUCAGAAAACACAGCCCGGCGGAGCAUCCCUCUCCUGGGCUUCCCUCUCGCAGCAAGAGGCCAGGAAAAAGUCCCAGGGAUGGGGACAACCGACGAAGGAGCUGUAACAAGAGACAAGUGCAUAAGAUCAGACCAAUAUUGGAUUCAACAGCCUCCAUUUAGCACCUCACCAUGUUCCACGCUUGCGGUCUCCCAGGACAGAUAUCCCCAAAAGGACUUAGCGAAGCCAGCCACUAUGAAGACAGUAAGUCCGUCUCUGAUUAGCCAUUAGCCCCUGCACCAGUGGGGUUUUAGCGGCCCAGCAGUGCAGCUUCUGUCCUUGUCUCCGUCCUUUCUCUCGACUAAUUGGCACAGAGGGGUAUCUGACAGGGUUGUAGCCUGUGGGAAUAGACAUUGACAUCUGAUCUGAUGCUCACUUAAAAUCAAAAUCAGACUAAACUGCACUGUCGGGCCUUUUGAGCUCCCGUGAGGAUGGAGAUCUUGACAGCAGCGGCUCGAGGUUUGGGACACUGAUGUCAACAUUGCAGACAGCACGUGAAAGAUGAAAGACAAUUUUUCUCGGGUUCACUUUUAAUAGUUGAUAGCAGUGUCCAG